RNAcentral lists this long non-coding RNA (457 nucleotides) under Mytilus galloprovincialis (Mediterranean mussel). The record is from RNAcentral. Lineage: Eukaryota; Metazoa; Mollusca; Bivalvia; Mytilida; Mytilidae.
UUGAUGUCGUUUUAGGGUACCCGAAUGUUGAAAUGUUUUCCCACAAUCCUUACACAAAUAAUUUCUUUCACCCGUGUGAGUCUUCUUAUGAAUAAGUAGUCCUUCUCUAAAAUUUAAUGCUUUAGAACACACUUCAUAAACAUGUUGUGGUACUUUAUCAUGAACUUGCUUAUGUUUUUGACAUCAUAAGGAGUUUCAAAACCUUUACCAUAAAUGUCACAUAAAUGUUCUUUAGUAUUAACAGCACCGUUUCCAUGUUUAACUUUCAUGUGCCUAUCUAGUCCCCUUUUUUCAAGCCAAGAUUUUUACAAGUUUUACAAGUAAAUAAUUCUCUCUUCCACAGACCAGUGAACUCUAUUCAGAUGCUGUUGCAAACUAUGUUUAAAUGCCAAUUUCCUUUUGCAUAUAUAUCACAUUCAAAUUUAUGGGCACCAUUUCCAUCUUGAUUAAGUUUUUU